This 253-nucleotide ribosomal RNA is filed under the name Povalibacter uvarum. Its description in RNAcentral is "partial 16S ribosomal RNA". It matches the Rfam family "Bacterial small subunit ribosomal RNA", at positions 524 to 776 of the family's 1533-position model. Lineage: Bacteria; Pseudomonadati; Pseudomonadota; Gammaproteobacteria; Steroidobacterales; Steroidobacteraceae. RNAcentral also lists the same sequence under 4 other names. The record is from RNAcentral.
UACAGAGGGUGCGAGCGUUAAUCGGAAUUACUGGGCGUAAAGCGCGCGUAGGCGGCUUUGCAAGUCGGGUGUGAAAUCCCCAGGCUUAACCUGGGAACUGCAUUCGAGACUGCAUUGCUAGAGUAUGGGAGAGGGAAGUGGAAUUUCCGGUGUAGCGGUGAAAUGCGUAGAUAUCGGAAGGAACAUCAGUGGCGAAAGCGACUUCCUGGACCAAUACUGACGCUCAUGUGCGAAAGCGUGGGGAGCAAACAGG